RNAcentral lists this non-coding RNA (204 nucleotides) under Clostridiales bacterium. RNAcentral's name for it is "T-box sequence". It matches the Rfam family "T-box leader". Rfam says of the family: Uncharged tRNA acts as the effector for transcription antitermination of genes in the T-box leader family. Lineage: Bacteria; Bacillati; Bacillota; Clostridia; Eubacteriales. The record is from RNAcentral.
UUAAAGGCUAUGAAAAGAAGAGUAGUAAAGCUGUUGCGCACAGAGAGUUCCGUGGCUGAGAAGGAACCGUUAAUGACUUUAUGAACCAAGGCUUGGAGCUGUGUGCCGGAUUUUUUGAUGGUAUGCCGGGUUUUCCCGUUAUAGAAAAAGAGGUUGAGUUUCUCUCGACGAAUUAGGGUGGCACCGCGGAAUAUCGCCCCUAAG